This is a long non-coding RNA of Oncorhynchus keta (chum salmon), 1903 nucleotides long. RefSeq lists it as uncharacterized. The transcript has 4 exons. The record is from RefSeq and is a predicted model, not a curated record. Lineage: Eukaryota; Metazoa; Chordata; Actinopteri; Salmoniformes; Salmonidae.
ACAAGUGGCUCGCGUCAACGCCUCCGUCUCCUCAUUUAACAUUCAAACAAUUAUGACGCUGAAGCGUUCCAAAUGACGCAACAAUACAGCUCCAGACCAGAGAAAGUUCAUGCGGAAGAUAUUCUUCAGUUCAACACUAAAACUGCGCGUUGACACGUGUGAUUUGAGGCUAGAGCUUGAGGACUCAACUCUGAAGACUGUUUCUGAAUUCACUGACCUGAAAUAAAACUUGUAGACCUUUCCUGCAGUCACUGAGGAGAUGGACACCUCUUCUUCUUCUGGACGAUCUCCGUCUCCUACUGGGACUGUCUUCUUACCCCCUCCUAUCAUAUGGAACAGUCUCUACAAGCAGGCAGAGAUGGAGGUUCACUUCCCGAGAGAAGAGAAGAAGACCUGUACAGAGAAGGAAGCCCACAUGCUUGAGUUGAUGGGGAAGGAUCGAACGAUCCGAAAUCAGAAGAAGGAGAUGGACAGACUUCAAGUGUGUCUCUGGGAGGAGGAAAAGAAGAAGAGGAAUGGUGGAUCGGAGAUGGACAAGAUCAUUGAACAAUUACAGUCUGAGUCAGACAAUCUCCGAGCCCUUUUAAAAAAUGAAAGGAGGAGAAGAAGAGUAGAAAGGGGUAUAUUGAAAGAGUGGAAGGCUGAGAUCCUGAGACUGAGGGAGGCAGAGAGCCAGAGGGAGGCAGAGAGCCAGAGAGAGGCAGAGAGCCAGAGAGAGGCAGAGAGAGAGAGAGAUGCAGAGAGAGAGAGAGAUGCAGAGAGAGAGAGAAAGGCAGAGAGACAGAGAGAAGCAGAGAGACACAGAGAAGCAGAGCGAGAGAGGGAAGCAGAGAGACAGAGGGAGGCAGAGAGACAGAGAGAAGUAGAGAGACAGAGGGAGGCAGAGAGACAGAGGGAAGCAGAGAGACAGAGGGAGGCAGAGAGAGCCACAGGAGCAAUGGAGCACCAGAGAAAAAUGCAGGAGAUCCACAGACUCAAACAACUGCUGGAUCUUCUGAUGGUGGACCUACAACUGGCCCACGUAAGACAUGUCAUUGUUAUUAUUAGAAGGCAGUGUAUAUUUACCAGCUGAAAAUGAAUAGUGGCAGACAGCGGUACGCUAACCCAAUGUUAACUUUUAUUCCUUUCCUUAACCCUUACCUUAACCUCACUGAAACUAUACCUGACCUUUACCUGAACCCAACCCUAGGUCCUGAACCUAACCUUCAUUUAUCUCAACCCCUAUGCCUUUCUUCUGCCGGUUGAAUAUCCACUUCCUUAUUAACGUCAUUACUGUUUUUGUUGUUAAUAACUGUAUCUGUGCAGGUUGUAAAUAACUGCAUUAGUGAAGCCUCAUUUGUAGGAGUAAUUUCCAUAAAAUGUCUCGUAAUUUUUUCUAACCAUGAUAAUACAUUAAUUGACAAUGAACUGUCCAGAUGAAUUGAUCAAAAUGACCCUGCUAUUGAUGUUGUCCAGUGUUUGAUUCAAUUACCUAGCUCUAGGUUGUAUUUCUGUGUAUCAUUCUCUGCAAAUCCUUUGAAAGUAUGUCUUGGUAAUAGAUUAUCACUAAUUUAACCUUUUAAAAUGAAGCAAGAGAUUGAGAGAUUGAGGCUAUGGCAGAAAGUUAUGGAGGAUCAGCGACCAAGACUGGCCUGGAACAACAAACCUAUUGAGACAGGAAGAGAGAGGGAAAAAGAGAGAGAAAGGGAGAUGGAAAGGGAGAGAAAAGCAGAAUUGGAAAGACAAGAAAUGAAGAAGAAAAUGGAACAGGCAGAAGAAACGAUAAAAGUGUUAGAACGAGAGAUUGAGAGAUUGAAAGAGAUUGAGAAGGAAAUCAUAUUUGAAAGAGAAAGAGACGUGUGUAUUGCAGAGAAUGAGAAAGUCAAACUGGUUAACGAAAAGGUAAAAGAGUUAGAGAGAGGUU